UCGGGAAUUUUGGGCAAUGGGCGAAAGCCUGACCCAGCAACGCCGCGUGAGGGAUGAAGUAUUUCGGUAUGUAAACCUCGAAAGAAUGGGAAGAAUAAAUGACGGUACCAUUUUUAAGCUCCGGCUAACUACGUGCCAGCAGCCGCGGUAAUACGUAGGGAGCAAGCGUUGUUCGGCUUUACUGGGCGUAAAGGGCGCGUAGGCGGCGCGGUAAGUCACUUGUGAAAUCUCUGAGCUUAACUCAGAACGGCCAAGUGAUACUGCUGUGCUAGAGUGCGGAAGAGGCAACCGGAAUUCGUGGUGUAGCGGUGAAGUGCGUAGAUAUCAAGAGGAACACCUGAGGCGAAGGCGGGUUGCUGGGCCGACACUGACGCUGAUGCGCGAAAGCCAGGGGAGCAAACG
This 402-nucleotide ribosomal RNA is filed under the name uncultured bacterium. RNAcentral's name for it is "bacterial SSU rRNA". It matches the Rfam family "Bacterial small subunit ribosomal RNA", at positions 355 to 774 of the family's 1533-position model. The record is from RNAcentral.